AUAAAUAACGUUUACCUCUACAAAACCUUAGGGGCAUCUCCCAGAGGGUUUUAUGCCUCCGUGAACUUUCAAAGCCAUGGGAGCAGUUCGGAGCUAAUUCACCUGCAACCAAUGCUCACAUAAUUCCUAUCCCUAUUUACCCAGACUCUUAAAUUUCCAGAAAAAUGAGGUAUUUACGAUUCAUUUCCCAUAUUCAAAAAUCAUUUCGCCAAAACCCUAUCCCCAAUUUCCCUCCAACCACUAACCCUAAUAUCUUGGCCCUAAUCCAAUCCAAAACCUCAUCUUCUCGAUCCUCGUGUUUGUUGAAUUCUAAGCGUGGGUGCACCUCUUCUGUACAAGAGUCGAAAUCGGCCCCCUCUGAGAGGGUCUCGGAGAUCGUCGACGAGCUCAUGGGCCUCACACUGCUCGAAGUUUCGGACCUCGUGGAGGUUCUGCGCGAGAAGUUGGGCGUCACUGAGAUGCCGACGAUGAUGGUGAUGAUGCCCGGGAUGGUGCCUGGGGCUUUAAAGGGCGCGGCGGGAAAGGGCGGUGCGACGCCGAAGGCGGAGGAGAAGGCAGAGAAGACGGUGUUCGAUGUGAAGCUCGAAGGGUUCGAAGCCGCGGCGAAGAUCAAAGUGAUUAAGGAGGUGAGGACGUUUACCGACUUGGGGUUGAAGGAGGCGAAGGAUUUGGUGGAGAAGUCACCGACGCUGUUGAAAAAGGGGGUGACCAAGGACGAGGCCGAGAAGAUUAUUGCGAAGUUAAAGGAGAUCGGCGCCAAAGUUUCGAUGGAAUGAGGCACUAAGUCUAUUGGGAUACAAGGAAGCUAAUGGAAUUUGAGCAAUCAGAGUCUGAUUAAGGCUAUGCAGGAGAAGAGGAUGAAGACCGCGAAGUGUGAGGCUUUAUGAUACAGAUUGUCAAGAUGGAGGAUUGCAGAUACUAAUGUACCACACUUGAAUUUCUUCAUAUCUGCUUUGCUAAAUUUCUGACCGGUGGGAGGAAAAAAAAUUCGAGCAAGUUGCAUUCUAUUGUUCCUAACUUGCAUUUCCGGUUGAACUUUCUUAAAGACUCUUUUCACCUGUCGUGGAAUUGGUUAUUUAGGAUGGACACGUUCAUUUCAUGGACCUUUUAGAGUUGUACCUUGCAUAUCUUUCCGAUGGCUUCCAAGGCCAGCAAUAAACCUUUGCAACUUGACACAACUGAAUGAAAGGAGGCCUAAAAGAUUGAAUGGA
Juglans microcarpa x Juglans regia is the source of this 1211-nucleotide RNA transcript. It is a transcript of the gene named 50S ribosomal protein L7/L12, with no coding region annotated. Lineage: Eukaryota; Viridiplantae; Streptophyta; Magnoliopsida; Fagales; Juglandaceae. The record is from RefSeq and is a predicted model, not a curated record. The transcript is spliced from 3 exons.